UGUCUGGGAAAGAUGAGCUGGAAGAGCUAGGCUCGCCCUCUGGACAAUAGGUAGUGCUGAGGGUAAAAGACUGCAAGUGUUUGGAUUUGGGGCAGUGCUCUUGCCCAGCUAAUGAUGGACUGCACUAAGCUUCUGCUUUUCCAUUUGAGAUAAUCUUCCACUCCUUGCCAAAACCAAAAAACGAAAAACAAAACAAAAACAAAACAGAUUAUCAGCUAGAUGUAUGUUGAUUCUUUGAAUAAAUCUUGAAAUAGGAUCAUUUGCGGACUGUUCUAAUCAUCUAUGCUGGGGCCUGAACAGAACCAUGGGAAUUUGAACCCUGAAGGGCAUCUUCUUUCUGUGAAUUGGGGAGUAGUUGCAUCAGGGUUUGAUACAUGGGGGUGAUCCUAGGAGGACAAAUGACUGUUAAGGCACCACUGAAAUGACCAGUGGCUUGGACUAAGUGAAAAGCACCAUUUGAUUUCCUUUAUCAGUAGAGAGACCUUUCUCCUCCCUGCUUCAUUAGUGACAUUUUUCUUGCUGGUGUCAGUGCCUGGGAGUGAGCUCCGGUGGUAACAUGUGUUCUCUCCCUUCCUGGCAGCUGGCUCUGCUUCAGAUAGUCUUCAUAAUUUGGGAGAGCACUGCAUUCUUUCUGAAAGUUUGCUGGUAUAUUCCCAGAGAAAGAAAAGCUUUCUAUCCACACAGCUGACAUUGUGCUCUGAGCAAUGUUGCUGUAGCUGCAGCCAGGGACAGAUGAGGCCCCGAGAUGUGUCUCAAUUGAAACCUCUCUGUAUGUUACAGAACAUUCACUGGCUUGGACUCAGGAGGCUGUUUCAUUUGAAUGUCUGCAUCGUUAGGAUGAUUGGAGACAGUAUUGUUUAGGGGUUAAAAGCCUUCCACGUGGGCUGAUUGACACAAUAAUCCAUGAGGGCGGAGGCAGAAUCUGUGCUUCUCCCACCCUGGCCUGGGUUCUGUACUAGCUAAGGCAUGGGUCGUCAGAACCCACAUUUGCCUCGUUUCCCACUAAUCACAGGGGAAUCAUUCAUCUGCAAGCAAGAUAUAUGUGAGGUGUUCUUUCUGGGGUCACAUCUAACUGAACCCUCUUCUACAAAUGAAAUGAUUUAUUCUAUAGAUAGCCUACAGCGACUUUGGUUAGAAAUUAUUUGCAAGCAGCAAAAACAUAUUUUGUGAAUUCAUUUUCUAGUUCUGAGUUGGAGGAAGUAGGAGGCCAAAGAAUGCUUGGAGAUCCAUACUGCUAAGUUAGACACAGUCAUCUGAUGGGAUGGGAGUGUCGUACAACCUUGUGCAAUGCUUUAGAUAGGCAAAUUGGGUAAAUGGGACUGGCUCUUGGAAGUUGGUCUAAUAUUCUUUGGAUUGCAGUAAUUUUCUCUUAAACAGAGAUCCUCACAUAUCACACAGUCUUGAUGAAAAUAUUCUUCCUAGAACACUUUGAGGCUCACAUUCUCGAUGUACUUGAACUCUAGAUUUAGUUUCUCCUUUAGCUCUCUGCAGGAAUUGACAUUGGCCAACAGCUUGCAGAUGCCUUUUGUGAGGUGAUAAAUUUUUUUCUUUUUAAAAUUCAACAGCAGAACAUAUCCAAGAUAGGUUUGGUCAGAUGUCGUUCUCACAGAUAUCUGGUAGGGGAAGUACAAAGAGCUGCCUCAACACAGAGGAAGGCAGUGUGGGCAGGGGUUGCUAGGAGCCCAGCGGCAGGGCUCUGCUUCACUGUCUUCUGACCUGCAUUUCUCUGUGGCUGGGCUGUCAUCUGGUUGGGGUGGGGCUUCAGGUUGGAAUACACUGCAUCUCUCGGGCAACUCUUCACGAGGAAGAACUCAUGGGGAGGGGUUGCAGAGCUCUUCGAUUCUUUCUUUCCUCCCCCAAGACAGGGUUUCUCUGUGUAGCCCUGGCUAUCCUGGAUCUUACUCUGUAGAUCAGGUUGACCUCAGAUUCACAGAGAUCUGCCUGCCUCUGCCCCCGAGUGCUGGGAUUAUAUGUGCGCCACCACUGCCAGGCUGAGCCUUUAAUUCUUGUGACAAGGGUGCAAUGUCUCGAAAUGAUUUGUUCAGAUUCCUUGGGAUAGUUGUUCCCAGUGAGUGGGUAUGGUGCUGCAGUUUCCAGAACUGAUCGUAACUGGUUGUCAUCCUUAAUAGUGCUAAGUAUUCGAGCCCCAGACUCAAGUUCCGCUUCCCUAGCACUGAUAAGGACAUGAUGUUAACUUAAUUUCCUGUGUCUGAAUUCGUUACUCUUAUAGUUUUGUAAUUAAGCCCACUUCUGAGAUGGCUGGUGACUAUUUUGAGGUGAAUGGCCUUUGGGUUGUUCUUCUCUGUCUAGAUAGGUUAAGACUGUAGAUACCACAAACUAAGAUUAUUAAAGGUUUCCUGGGGGCAGCAGAACUGUGGGGUGAGGAACUAGGAAGGCUAAGAAAGCCAUUUGUCCUUUUAUUCUGGAGAACUAAAGGUGGCUCCAAGCUUACAGUUCCGUCCUCUGCCCCCAGUGCCGUGUCAUGGCUCUGGUGUCGUCUUCUCCCACUUUAGCUUUAGCUUUUCUUAAAGGUAUUGUGGUAUUUGGCUUUGGCCACAGGAACCAGAUCACUGAAUGGGAAAGAUAUCAUCCCUGCCUCUACAGGCCACUGUUGAGUCCUACACAGCUGUCCCUAGUGGGUCACACAGAAAAUAGCAGAAAUGGCCCUGUGUCAACCCUGGGAGAACUGUCUCAGGCCUCUUCUAUUUAUCUGCUUUUGCAGGAUUUUUCUAGAUUUAGAGGGCAUUCUUCCUGUUUUCAGCAAAUGUUUUCAUUUUUCUUCCUCAAUUGCUAAUGGUCACAUCAGGCCAGUGUCCCUGAAAACUUUGAAGCUGACCUGACCAAGGCCUUUUGGGGGAUCUACAGGGAUGAAGAAAGGUGGUUCCUUAAUCCAUGUCUCUACUUGGGGCUGAGAGGCCUGGUUAGGGAUUCAGUGUCAGCUGAAAAUGGCAGGGAGACACAGGGGUCACUCCUAGACAGGUUAAGAUGUCGAUAUCACAAACCAGAGUUGGUGAGAGUUGCCUGGGCUGAGGAGGGCAUGUGGGGUAUGAAGCAGGGAAGGCAAGAAAGCCCUGUGUGGUUCCCACGGGCAUUGACUGGUUAAACAACUAGCACAUGAGUGGGGAAAGGAUACAUACUGGCCUGGAGACUAGGGUGGUGGAAGGCAUGAGGUUCCCAAUCAGUGUCCUCACUUUUUUUUGGCACUGGCACCUCUCAGGAUCCAAAAUAUUGCUUCCAUGAAGAAUAUCUGCAAUAAAUCCGAGCCAGGUUGGCAGGUGGAAGCACAAGGCUUCAGAACAUAGUUGAAUGACAUUGAUAUCCUGGAUACUUCUAUUCUACCUGCAGGUGAUCACAACAGAAACAUGAAGGAAACCUUGAAGUGCACUGUAUACAUGCAUGGACACACUCAGCCACCUUCUCUCAAGAGGUUUUCUCAGCCCCUUCUACACUGCAGCCCAGGUCAAACUUUCAACCUUCCGUGGAGAGUGACCAGCUGUGACAUUCUGGUUGUGGCCUCUCAGGCUUUCCUGCCACACCUGGUGUCUGCUCACUGCUUUCUUCACCCCAUUGGGAGCAUCACUGAGUUGGGUCCAGUCCUCGUGUCCUGUCUUCUUUUCUCUUCUUGUCCCUCUGUCCAUGCUGAUUCAGUCUAUACUCAGAUCCUCCUAGUUGUUGCCUGGAAUACCGCAGUUGCUUCUUACCUGGCUCCCUGAGAUUCUCAAAGCAUCUCUCUCUCACCAUGUUAUUUCCAGGCUUAAAAUGCUCCCUGGCCCCAUGGUGCCCUCAUGAUGCGGUCUGAGCUCUGCAGCAGAUCUGCAGGGCUCCUGAGACUCAGCUACUGUGCUCCCUGGUCCUGUCCACUGUGCUCCCUACUCUGCCUCUGGACUGUGGCUAGAUCGCUCCUCCUGGGCCAUGGCUCCUCCUCCUGCCCCUCCCAGGUUAGGUGCCCUCUGUUUGUCCACCCAGGGCUCUGCAGACCUCUGUCCAGCAGGGGUGUUCUUCUGCUGUGUCUGUGUCCCUGCAGCUGGUAUCUGCAUAUCCUUGUGGGUUUCCUUUGCUGUGUACACAGCAGUUCCUGGGUGCACUGGGGCUGUAGCUGAAAGAUUUGGCAGAUGCAUUAAGCGCGGGCUGGUAUGUUCAGCAUGGCUGGCCACUCUCCUGGACUGUUCUUUAUUGAUCUCCUCUUUCUCCCAAAACCCUGUGCCUGAGUUCACUACUUCUGCUUAGGGUACUAGUGGCCGCUAGGCUUCCAGAAGGAAAACCUUAGUAAUCUACAUUUCUGCCUCACAGACUGCUGCCACCAAGUGUUGAUGUUCCUUUCCUAUUAUGCCUUUUCCUUUCCUCUUGACUUCAUGGUCUGGCUUCACCCUUCACUUGGAAAAUUCUCAAGUCUAGGCUUGGGAUGUGCUGUAGCCCACACUGGAGUAGGAUUGUGCAAACAUGCAAAGCGAGGCUGGGUAUGACCCAGUGAUAGGAAGUUUGCCUGGAGUGCUUGUCAAGGCCUUGGGUUCCAUCCCUAAUAUCACAAAUUAUUAACAGCAGCAACAACAAAGCCGUGCUGACAAUUUUCCUCCUUGACUUUUCCAUCUUGUUAGGACUGCACCCUUGGCUGGUUGUUCCUCUUGUGUCCUGCCACCAGCCCAAAUUUGACCUUCCCUGACCUUAUCCACACUUAAGUGACUAGGCCCCAGGUGCUGAUCCCUGCUAGUUUCAGGCUUGGAGUAGCCUUUCCCUGUCUUCACUGAGGAUUUGAACUUCAUGGCUGCUAUCAAGCCGCACGUUCCUGACUAGCCCCAGGAGCACCAAGAGCUCCUCUGCGGUACUGAGGGCUCACCUCACCAACACCGGUCCAUUCAUCUAGCCCUGUGUGCAAGUGGUAUUCUAUGGAUUUAAGGCAAGAGUGAGCCAUCCAGGAAAUUUCCUGCUCCUAGACCUCUGCAGUGUUGUGGAGAUUAAUUCAGCUGACUGUCUUCUUCCCUGAAUGAGGAGUGUCUCAACGGUAAGCGGCCCUCACUGCCCACCAUGGCUGCCCUCCAGUUAAGUUGACCUGAGACCCUCCAGAACACACCAGCCUUAAGUUUGGGCCUGGGCCCAUGGAAUGAUGGUGUGAGCCCUUCUGUACUGCAGGCUGCUCCCAAAUGCCUCAGCCUAGGCUUGGCCCCAGCAGUCAGGGCUCUUACUAGCACGACUGAGUCCUCACAGAAGGCAUUACAGAUUCCAAGUGCUUCUCUCACCCUGUGUUAUGAGUCUGAUGCUGGACCUCUCUGCACCCCUGACACUCUAGGGGUAGGGCAAGAGUGUGGCCAACUCCAACUUCUUCUGGACCCUGGAGUUUUCUGCUUCCCGGAUAGCCAGCGAGUCCUGGACAGGUAAAACAAGCACCUGUCAUGCAUACUGGACAGUCAAGCCCAAGCUCCAGUGAUCCUAUGUUGAAGUUAUGGACAUCUACCAGAUCUGACAGACUCCCAGAGAAGAAGGGCGGCCUCAAGGGUCUGUUUGAAUAGACAUUCCCCAAUGCUGUGGUCUUCAUGAAGUGCUGGGUAAUCAUCAACAGAGACUUGCAGGGAAGCUCUCUGUGCAUUGCACACAUCUUUGAGGUGUUAACCAAGUGGCCUGGAGCUCUACACCCUAUCUGUGAGCUGAUGACAGAACGGGAGAAUCAGAGAAGACUUAGAACCCCUGCAGGGACAACCCCUGGAAGUGGCCAGAAUACUGAGCAGACUAGCCCCGACUUCCCACCAGCAAACUAUCUGAUCCUGCAAUGCCAGACCCCCAGUAAAGUCAAGGUACCUUCCAUUUUUUUCAGAGGAACUGUCUGAGCUGAAAGAACUGAGGAGAAGGACAUAUCUGAGAGCCCCAGUGGACUCAGCCAAGAACAUUACCAGACAUUGGCAAUCAACACCCGAGGGCCCCUAUGCUGCCUCCCUAACCUGUACCUGGUGCUGCUGGUUACACUGGGCAAUUGAAGACAAAUGGCAUACAGGCCAUCAACCUGUGACGCUGUACAUGAUUGUGUGUGUACUAUCUAGUCAAGCCUGUGUCCAUGGCCCUAAGAUAGCCAUGCUUAUCAAGGCUGGAGUUUAGGUGUGGCGGCAACAGUUACUGAAAGGUAGCUUGCCUCUGCCUGCAGUGGUUUCCUCUGUGAUCAUGACUGGGAUAUUGGCUCCAAAUCAAUGCAGGGAGGGCAGAAGGUGACCAUGCCAAGGCUGGAUAGGGACAUUAAGAUAAGUGAUGGGACAUUAAUAUAUCAGCAGCCACAUGUGUGGCAAAGGGCUUGCAAGUUAAAUACCAUGGUGGUCCAAUGAUUUCUAAGUCCUGCCCAGUUCUUGACUGUAUGUCCUGAUUCAAUAAUUCAUAGCUGAGGAACCUAUUAUCAGUGACUUUCUGGGAGUCAGUCCCAGGCCAACUCAUGCUGUGCUCCCUGAUGUGGGUCAGGAACGAAGUGAACCUCCAUGGGUGCCCUGGCAUUUGGAGGGCAUUUAGGUUCAGCAGUUCUGGCUACAGUGCCAGGAUUUCUAGCUGCCUGAGCUUGGCAAACUCCUUCUCCCACCAAGAACCACAUGCCUUCAACCCUUUUCUCUGCACGGUACCUGACUUCCAAGAUCUGUUUUUUUUUUUUCUUCCAACAGGAGAGGGUGUCUGUAGAAUGCUUGGUGCAAACUGCACCACAGUGGUCUGAUCUCCUCCCCUCCCUCUCCUCCCCCUGGAGGACUUGGGUCUGACUCUCUCUUGCUCCUCAUGGCUCUCUGGUAUCUUCUUCCCCAGUAGGAGCUCUAGUUCAAGCAAUCUGGAGCAGAAGUGGAGGAUCCAACCUGGGAGUGUCUGUGUGUGCCCAGCUCUCACAGAGGGGUUCUGGGAAUGCAGAAAGGAGCAGGGCAGCAUAGAGGUGAUGUUGCAGAGUGGAGGUGAGGAGCAAGGGCUCUCCAGUCAGACCACACUAUAACUCAGUGUGCGGCCUUAGAGGAAGUCACUUAAUUGCACUAUAACUCAGCUUCCCUCUCUGUAAAAUAGGUAUAAAAUUCAUCAACCUCGUGAAUGAACGGUGCAUUCCAGUACUCAGCACAUCCACCAGUUCCACUAAAUACGUAUUGGCACUAACUCCAACUCCAGCUCCAACGGAGGAGCUGGGAUAGGGAGCUGUGCAGUAGGGUGCAGUGGUCCCCUCAACAAUUGGCCAUCUCUCCCACAGAUGGGAAAUAUCAGAGGGUGGAAGUCUUGGAAUAAGUAUUCCUUGAGGGAUGGGGAAUAUUUAUGUUAUUUCUGUAUUUUCAGGCACUGGAGGUGGUUCCCAGAACUUGGCACAGGCUGGACAAGUGUUCCUUGUGUAAGCUAUAAGCAACAGUCCCAGUAGUUCUUAGAUGAGCAGAUGGGAGGAGAAAAGCGAGCCUCCCCAAUCCCUGUAAUCCAUGUUCUUGACCACCCCAACUCUUACCCCACCCUCUGCAUCAGAAAACAACUUAAUGAAUUCCAGCUGAGCCUCAUUCUCAGCCAUACUGUAGCAUCUAUACCUGGAGAUCUGCUCUCAGUGGGCAGACAGGAAACUACCACCACCGUGCCUGCAUUAAACUCAACGCCAGUGAAAUGGGCCUGCCUGCGAAGAGAGGAGUCUGUUUGGAGUCCUCAAACAGCCUCAGCCUUCUUCUCCCUACCCUUCCUAUCCUGGCUGGGUGGGAGUUCAGGAAGCAUCGUGGCCUGCCAGGCUACCUCAUACAGGCUUGGACGCAGCCCCUUGGCUGCGGGAAAAGGACAGACACAACCCUUUCAUAUCAGCAUGAGAGGUAGGUUGAUAGUGAUGUUGGAUGCUAGUGUUGGCCACAAGCUUCCCCCUCCAUCACGUGAUCCCAGUGGCCUCACAGAGCUUUGCUUACUUAGAAGCCUACUCUCCAAAGAGUCACCAUGGAAAGAACCAGCUUUAUCUGUCUCUCUGCUGGUGUAGUGCUACCUGGGCCAGUGGGACGGGGAGCUGUUGCUGCUGUUCCACCUGUUUCUCUCCACACACCUGCCUCCAGCCUUCCUGGCUCAUCAGCUGCCCCUAACCUCCUGCAUUUGGCAUUAGCACUUCCGGCCCCAUGAACCUUUCUGUUUCCCAUUGACCACCUACAGCUAAUUUUCCAAGAGACCACUAGUGGUUACUGCUGGGGAAUGCAGACCACCAGACCCUGAAUUUCCUGUGAACAACUUGUUUUCCUCUACUCUGAGCAGCCUGCAGCUGCUCAGAGCAUAAGACCCUGAUGGCAGGGGAGUGGUUUCUGGUGGAUCUGCAGCUGAAAGAUCCCGAGAGCUGGGGCGUGGCCAGAGCCCUAUAUAAGCUGCCCCUGAACACAAUAAAGAGGGCAUUUUUAUUUCAAGGA
Molecule: long non-coding RNA, 8351 nt
Organism: Myodes glareolus (Bank vole)
Lineage: Eukaryota; Metazoa; Chordata; Mammalia; Rodentia; Cricetidae
Source: RefSeq, a predicted model, not a curated record